This 478-nucleotide ribosomal RNA is filed under the name Lacticaseibacillus rhamnosus. Its description in RNAcentral is "partial 23S ribosomal RNA". It matches the Rfam family "Bacterial large subunit ribosomal RNA", at positions 1940 to 2417 of the family's 2925-position model. The record is from RNAcentral. Lineage: Bacteria; Bacillati; Bacillota; Bacilli; Lactobacillales; Lactobacillaceae.
CUAUAACGGUCCUAAGGUAGCGAAAUUCCUUGUCGGGUAAGUUCCGACCCGCACGAAAGGCGUAAUGAUUUGGGCACUGUCUCAACGAGAGACUCGGUGAAAUUUUAGUACCUGUGAAGAUGCAGGUUACCCGCGACAGGACGGAAAGACCCCAUGGAGCUUUACUGCAGUUUGAUAUUGAGUAUCUGUACCACAUGUACAGGAUAGGUAGGAGCCAUUGACUUCGGGACGCCAGUUUCGAAUGAGGCGUUGUUGGGAUACUACCCUUGUGUUAUGGCUACUCUAACCCAGAUAGGUUAUCCCUAUCGGAGACAGUGUCUGACGGGCAGUUUGACUGGGGCGGUCGCCUCCUAAAGAGUAACGGAGGCGCCCAAAGGUUCCCUCAGAUUGGUUGGAAAUCAAUCGCAGAGUGUAAAGGUAUAAGGGAGCUUGACUGCGAGAGCUACAACUCGAGCAGGGACGAAAGUCGGGCUUAGUG